CAGCCGCCACGGGAAUACGAAGGGGGCUAGCGUUGUUCGGAUUUACUGGGCGUAAAGGGUGCGUAGGCGGACUGAUAAGUCAGGGGUGAAAUCCCAAGGCUCAACCUUGGAACUGCCUUUGAUACUGUUAGUCUUGAGUUCGAGAGAGGUGAGUGGAACUGCGAGUGUAGAGGUGAAAUUCGUAGAUAUUCGCAAGAACACCAGUGGCGAAGGCGGCUCACUGGCUCGAAACUGACGCUGAGGCACGAAAGCGUGGGGAGCGAACAGGAUUAGAUACCCCAGUAGUCCCUGUCUCUUAUAU
This 301-nucleotide ribosomal RNA is filed under the name uncultured bacterium. RNAcentral's name for it is "partial 16S ribosomal RNA". It matches the Rfam family "Bacterial small subunit ribosomal RNA", at positions 509 to 809 of the family's 1533-position model. The record is from RNAcentral.